Molecule: ribosomal RNA, 549 nt
Filed under: Astrodoras sp. INPA 24660
Lineage: Eukaryota; Metazoa; Chordata; Actinopteri; Siluriformes; Doradidae
Description: partial 16S ribosomal RNA
Rfam family: Bacterial large subunit ribosomal RNA
Source: RNAcentral
AGGUCUUGCCUGCCCAGUGACAAGUUAAACGGCCGCGGUAUUUUGACCGUGCGAAGGUAGCGCAAUCACUUGUCUUUUAAAUGAAGACCUGUAUGAAUGGCGGAACGAGGGCUUAACUGUCUCCCCUUUCUAGUCAAUGAAAUUGAUCUGCCCGUGCAGAAGCGGACAUGUCCCUACAAGACGAGAAGACCCUUUGGAGCUUAAGAUGUAAGAUCAACUAUGUCAAGAACCCUAAAAUUAAGUUAAACUCAAUAGUACCUGAUCCCCAUCUUCGGUUGGGGCGACCACGGGAGAAAAUAAAGCUCCCAUGCGGACUGGGGAUAACCCCCAAAACCAAGAAAGACACUUCUAAGUCCCAGAACAUCUGACCACAAAGAUCCGGCCACCCGCCGAUCAACGGACCAAGUUACCCUAGGGAUAACAGCGCAAUCCUCUUUCAGAGUCCAUAUCGACAAGAGGGUUUACGACCUCGAUGUUGGAUCAGGACAUCCUAAUGGUGCAGCCGCUAUUAAGGGUUCGUUUGUUCAACGAUUAAGUCCUACGUGAUCU